CCUGACUGCUAUUGGAGUGGGACUAAGUCACGCUAGUCAAAGGUGCGGAAUGGAGCACCUGGCGUACGGCUCAGUAACACGUAGUCAACCUGCCCUAAGGACGAGGACAACCACGGGAAACUGUGGAUAAUACUCGAUAAGAAAUUUGGCCUGGAACGGUAUCUUUCACAAAACCGGCUCGCCGUGAGACACGGGCCUUAGGAUGGGGCUGCGGUCGAUUAUGCUAGAUGGCGGUGUAAAGGACACCAUGGCUAUGAUCGGUAUGGGCGAUGGAAGUCGGAGCCCAGAGUCGGCUACUGAGACAAGGAGCCGAGCUUUACGAAGCUUAGCGGUCGCGAAAACUCGCCAAUGCACGAAAGUGUGAGUGGGCUACUCCAAGUGUCAUUCUUACGGAUGACUGUCGCUCAGUCUUACCGGCUGAGAAAGGAAGGAGAGGGCAAGGCUGGUGCCAGCCGCCGCGGUAAAACCAGCUCUUCGAGUGGUCAGGACGAAUAUUGGGUCUAAAGCGCUCGUAGCCGGACAAGUAGGUUCUUGGUUAAACCCGACAGCAUAACUGUUGGCCUGCUGGGAAUACCGCUAGUCUUGGAAGCGGGAGAGGACAGAGGUAGUCAUGGGGCAGGGGUGAAAUCCAGUGAUCCCAUGGCGACCACCGAUGGCGAAGGCAUCUGUCUGGAACGUAUUCGACGGUGAGGGGCGAAAGCUAGGGGAGCGACCCGGAUUAGAUACCCGGUUAGUCCUAGCCGUAAACGAUGCGGACUAGGUGUUACAGCGGCCAAGAGCCACUGUAGUGCCACAGCGAAGGCGUUAAGUCCGCCACCUGGGGAGUACGGAUGCAAGUCUGAAACUUAAAGGAAUUGACGGGGGCGCACCACCAGGAGUGAAGCCUGCGGUUU
Molecule: ribosomal RNA, 893 nt
Filed under: uncultured archaeon
Lineage: Archaea
Description: bacterial SSU rRNA
Rfam family: Archaeal small subunit ribosomal RNA
Source: RNAcentral